RNAcentral lists this ribosomal RNA (400 nucleotides) under uncultured bacterium. Its description in RNAcentral is "bacterial SSU rRNA". It matches the Rfam family "Bacterial small subunit ribosomal RNA", at positions 356 to 773 of the family's 1533-position model. The record is from RNAcentral.
GGGGAAUAUUGCACAAUGGGCGAAAGCCUGAUGCAGCAACGCCGCGUGAAUGAUGAAGGCCUUCGGGUCGUAAAGUUCUUUGAUCAGGGAUGAUAAUGACAGUGCCUGAAAAACAAGCCACGGCCAACUACGUGCCAGCAGCCGCGGUAAUACGUAGGUGGCGAGCGUUGUCCGGAAUUACUGGGCGUAAAGGAUGCGUAGGUGGAUACUUAAGUGGGAUGUGAAAUCCCCGGGCUCAACCCGGGAACUGCAUUCCAAACUGAGUAUCUAGAGUGCAGGAGAGGAAAGCGGAAUUCCUAGUGUAGCGGUGAAAUGCGUAGAUAUUAGGAGGAACACCAGUGGCGAAGGCGGCUUUCUGGACUGUAACUGACACUGAGGCAUGAAAGCGUGGGGAGCAAAC